Molecule: non-coding RNA, 94 nt
Organism: Bacteriovorax sp. DB6_IX
Lineage: Bacteria; Pseudomonadati; Bdellovibrionota; Bacteriovoracia; Bacteriovoracales; Bacteriovoracaceae
Source: Rfam
AGUCGGGCUGAGCAAGUGUUCGCAGGGUGAACUCCGCCAGGUCGGGAACGAAGCAACGGUAGCUUUUGCUGCAUUGUGUUUAUGUUCGGCUGCC